CCUACGGGGGGCAGCAGUGGGGGAUAUUGCACAAUGGGGGAAACCCUGAUGCAGCGACGCCGCGUGGGUGAAGAAGCCCUUCGGCUUGUAAAGCUCUGUCAGCAGGGAAGAAAAUGACGGUACCUGCAGAAGAAGCCCCGGCUAACUACGUGCCAGCAGCCGCGGUAAUACGUAGGGGGCAAGCGUUAUCCGGAUUUACUGGGUGUAAAGGGGGCGCAGACGGCGGUGCAAGUCAGGAGUGAAAGCCCGGGGCUCAACCCCGGGACUGCUUUGGUAACUGGGGGGCUAGAGUGCAGGAGGGGCAGGCGGAAUGCCUGGUGUAGCGGUGAAAUGCGUAGAUAUUAGGAGGAACACCAGUGGCGAAGGCGGCCUGCUGGACUGCAACUGACGUUGAGGCGCGAAAGCGUGGGGAGCAAACAGGAUUAGAUACCCUUGUAGUC
RNAcentral lists this ribosomal RNA (440 nucleotides) under uncultured bacterium. Its description in RNAcentral is "partial 16S ribosomal RNA". It matches the Rfam family "Bacterial small subunit ribosomal RNA", at positions 338 to 795 of the family's 1533-position model. The record is from RNAcentral.